CCAAGACUUCCCAUUUCUUUGUGUACAUGGAAUCUUUUGCCUUGAUGCCAGGAUUGCUUCAAGCCAUGAAUAACAGACUGUGUGUUCACUUGAGAUUAUUUUCAAAUAGUACUUGUUAUCCCUCCUGACACAUUGAAUUACUUUGUAUUCUGCUCUUGACAUGAUAAAACUUACUGUAUUGUGUGGUAGAAAAUUUUUUUAGUGUAGGCAAAUAUAACAAGGAUACAAAAAUCAUCUGCAGUCCAUAAUCCAUGGAUAAUCACCAUUAAUUCAUACUUUUGCCCACUGCAGAGGUGGGCAAAAGUAGGUUUACAGUUUGUAUGG
This is a long non-coding RNA of Myotis davidii, 324 nucleotides long. RefSeq lists it as uncharacterized. NCBI's taxonomy places the organism in Eukaryota, Metazoa, Chordata, Mammalia, Chiroptera, Vespertilionidae. The record is from RefSeq and is a predicted model, not a curated record. The transcript has 2 exons.